RNAcentral lists this long non-coding RNA (329 nucleotides) under Hordeum vulgare. Its description in RNAcentral is "long non-coding RNA (HVUL_LNC018254)". Lineage: Eukaryota; Viridiplantae; Streptophyta; Magnoliopsida; Poales; Poaceae. The record is from RNAcentral.
CUAAUAUGAACUGUACUGCUACACCUGCUACAAACUAGAGAAGAUUUAUUCAGCUAUUGUCCGCAAGAAAAAAGAUGAUUUACUUUGUUAUGCUUCUUGUGUUGAAUCGAACGGCAUGCCAACAGUACAUGCAAACAUCUCUUAUCAGGUAUAAUAAGUCUAGCAUUUGGACCUUGCUAGGUAUAAUAAGUCUAGCAUUUGGACCCUGAGACAUCCUGUUCCUGAAUCACUUGACGGCAGAAUUCAGUUAAUUAUAGUCUCAUAUCAGCAACAUUCAGUAUCAUACUUAGCUUCUCCUCUGUGAUUAGCUGCUCCGGCGUCAUUUCCUC